Long non-coding RNA from Panicum virgatum (switchgrass), 255 nucleotides. RefSeq lists it as uncharacterized. The transcript is spliced from 3 exons. Lineage: Eukaryota; Viridiplantae; Streptophyta; Magnoliopsida; Poales; Poaceae. The record is from RefSeq and is a predicted model, not a curated record.
GUAAUGAACAGUGGAUUGAACUUGUGGACUCAUGGAUGACCCCCCAAAAAAUGGAGGCAAGUCGAAAGAACAAAGAGAAUCGAGAUGAUGUAAAGUUCCACCAAACAACUGGCUCCUGUAGCUACCCAGUUUAUGUAGAAAAAAUUGAGAGAAGAUAAGUACAAGGAUAAAGAAUUUGAUGCUGUUGAUUUGUUUAAGAUGUGCCACUACAACAACAAAAAGAAAGGAUACACGCCCACUGUACAAUCUGCUAUU